This 253-nucleotide ribosomal RNA is filed under the name uncultured bacterium. RNAcentral's name for it is "partial 16S ribosomal RNA". It matches the Rfam family "Bacterial small subunit ribosomal RNA", at positions 524 to 776 of the family's 1533-position model. The record is from RNAcentral.
GACGGGGGGUCCUAGCGUUGUUCGGAAUCAUGGGGCGUAAAGCGUGUGCAGGUGGUUCUGUAAGUUAGAUGUGAAAGCCUUGGGCUUAACCCAAGAAGUGCAUUUAAAACUACAAAACUUGAGUAUGGAAGAGGGUCGUGGAAUUCCAGGUGUAGUGGUGAAAUACGUAGAUAUCUGGAGGAACACCGGUGGCGAAGGCGGCGACCUGGUCCUAUACUGACACUCAUACACGAAAGCGUGGGGAUCAAACAGG